RNAcentral lists this long non-coding RNA (21283 nucleotides) under Cicer arietinum (chickpea). RNAcentral's name for it is "long non-coding RNA (CARI_LNC000529)". Lineage: Eukaryota; Viridiplantae; Streptophyta; Magnoliopsida; Fabales; Fabaceae. The record is from RNAcentral.
AAUCCCAAAAGGUUUUCAAUUUGUACUCAACGUGACUUAGAUUAUUCAUCAUGAAAAAAUGGCGCAAAGUAGGGUCCUCAUAAAUUUGUGACUUAGCUUCCAAUUUUGUCUCAAACUGAACCAUUAUCAUCUCCAUCUGCGAAAAGAAUAAAUAUUUUCCCAUUCCAUCAACAACAACCAAGGGGUAUUCUAGUAAAAUUCUUUCCAGAUUUACCCUUGACCAGAAAGCCAUAAGGAUGUAGCCAGAGGCCUCACUUGUCAUUGGAUGAACCCCACCAUCCGCCCAACAAUCUAAGUCUGCGUCUGGCGUAACAAAUAUCAAUUUACCAAAUUCCAUGAAAAUGUCUCUACUUACUUCAGCCAAUCUAUUCUUUAUUUUAAUUGCUUCAUUCACCAAAGAAGCAUGAAACAAUGAUUCAAAAUCGGGAAACAAAUCACACAGUGUCUCAAACAAGUCAAGGAUUUUAAACAAACGCCACGCUGAAGGACUUCGAUUUGCAAAUGAAUCAGCAAAAUUCAGCAGCUGUAUUGUCGCUCCACAACAAAUCCUUGAGAAAUAGAGACUAGAUGAUGCAUAGGUGGACUCAGAGAAAACACUAUUGUAUAGUUGACGCUCACUGGGAAAUAAUAUUCUAAGAGCAACCUUUGAACUUUUAAUCCAUCUUCCAAUCACGUAUUCCUGUAAUCCCAUCUUUCCCAAUGCUAAUAAUUUAUUUAUUAACAAAUCUUCCAACCAUUCCUUACGAUAACUGCUAUAAAUCUCAUAGCACUCUUUCUCAAAUCCAACAUUCACCAUUGAUUUCACUGUUUCCUUAAGGUGGUUGAUUGUUUCAUUUGACAGGGCAUCAAUAAUGAAGUUGUGAUCAGUCACCACCAACUUAUAGUUACCUUCAACCUCCUGCAAAAGCAUCUUACCAAUAUUUGAGUUGUUUUGCUUAAGCUCAUUCAUACAAGUUAGGAACCGUUGCAGAAUCAGUUCCUGACAUGUACGAAAGUGUUGUAUGAUGCUACCACUACUGAUAUUUUCUAGCUGUUUUGAAUCUACUUGAAUGACUACUUGUUGUUCUUCGAGUCCAUGAAACUGAUUUUCUUGUGUAACAUUCAAGUUUGAGAAAGAAGAACGAAAAAUAAUAAGACAGUAACUAUAACCAAUUCCAAUAAUAGAUAACAACAAUUUAAUCUUCAUGAGUUGAACAAUUAGACAUCCAAGAUAAAAGUACAUAAGGUCGACGUCAAAUCCGCACUGAAUUUGCCUCGAUAAACUAAGUGACAUGAGAGCAAAGGCAGCACAUGAAAUGAGGCUAUAUGCAUCUGGUUUUCCAUUAAUAAUUUUAUCAGAGAAAAAGGAAUAGACAGAGGUAAUUGUCAAUACCAGAAAUGCUGAAUGAGCUUUGAACCGAAGACUUAUGGAGUGUUGCCAUAAUCUUGCAAACAAAAUCAAUAGACAAAUGAUGAAACUGAAGAAGCUAUAAAGAAAUAUCUUCUAUAAAUUCCACUCUCCAAAUAGAUGGUUGAAGGAAGAGCUGAGAGCAUAAGAAAGCAAUCCAACAAUAGCAGAAGCUAAACCCACAAAUCUCCAUAUCUUUAACUGCAUAAUUUGAUUCUCAGAAUUGAAAUGAGUAUGGCUAUCAUGCUUUUUAUGAAAUGUGUAAUGGACUUUUUGGUCAAAAAAUGAGUAAUAUUAUUAGAUUGAUAUAUUGAUACUGGUCCACUGACCAAUUCUUUUCAAUUUUUUGGCAACAAAAGGUGUUUUUUUCUCUUGUCCACAUGUUCCAUUGUUAAACGUUGUUUUGCCGAUCAAGUAAUCACAGAUGUUUUUCUAUUUUUUGCUAUUGACUUUUUUAAACCCUUAAUCUUUUAAAUAUUUCUUUAUAUUAAUUUUAAAGAAAAAACAAUAGUUCGUAAUAAAUAUACAAAUAUCACGUUUUAAAUUGUGGGGUCAAUUAUAGUUACUUGGAUUACAGUUGCAGGAAUUACAGGACAGUAAAUCUAUUUUUAUUAGAAUCAAAUAUUAUAAUUAUAAUAUCUUAUCAAUCAGAUAUCUUCUAUUUUAUAAAGUCUCAUAUGUAUUAUAUUGUCAAUUCUCUAUCACUUUAAUAUAUUUAAUCUUUAGAAAUACCUUCUAAAUCUAUGUUAUAAAGAAAAAGGAAGACAUAGAAAAUGAUUUGUGUGAAAACUAUGUAGUCUGUCGUUGAUGUCUGGUGCGACUGUUGCAGUCAUUGUAACAUUACGAUGGAGGUUUUUAUGUUAUUUACAGUAACAACGCAGUUAAAGACUGAUAUAAUUACUGACAAUUUUGCAAUUGCAGUCACAUUAAAUGAUAUAGUAUGUAAGUUUCUUUUUUUACUCAAUAGUCAAUAUAAUCUGUAAUUUAAAACUCUAAAUUAACCAUUUUUUUACAAUCUAAUUUAACCUUAAUGUGAGAGUAUUUUUUUCUAAGGGAGAGGAAUCUUUUUCAUGCAACUAUAUAUAAAUGAAUAAAAAUAGUUAUUUAAUGGUUACAAUGUUGAAAAGUCCAUAUAAAUAAUUUAUAUGCAAUUUCGUGCAUAAAUGUUGAAAAUAUUCGUUGUAUGGACUUUUCAUGCAACUAUAUAUAAAUGAAUAAAAAUAGUUAUUUAAUGGUUACAUUGUAUGAACAUAAUUAAUCAUUUUAUUAAAACAUAAUCAAUCACAAUUUUCACUAUAUUAAAAAUAUUUGAUUUAUUUUUACAUCAAUUUUUUUUGUUCUAAAGAGUGUUAGCUAGUAACAAAACUCAUAUGCAUUAUAUGUGAAGAAAUAAAGUAUUGCAAGUUUCUAACUUGUGUUGAAUCAUAUCAAAUGUUUACAUAAUCUUUUGUCAUUAUAUAUUUUUUAUAAAUAUUAAUAAUAUUUAAUUUAUAAUUAUUAAUUUAACUAUCUAUCAAUCAUAACUAUAAGAUCAUUAGUGAUAUUUGAUUUUUCUAAAAGAAAAUCAUUUAACUAUUAAUUUAAAAAUCAAAUGUAUCGAUAGAUCAUGUCAAUAUAUAAAAAAAGCCAUGAUAGAUUAAUAAUAUAUAAAACAGAGAAUGAGUAAGAAAUCAAGAACAAAUAAUUUUAAAUAUUUUAUUUGAAUUAUGCACAAUUUUUAAUAAAAUGAUUAAAUGAAUUUUAUUUAUUAAAUUAUCCUUAUUAAUUGCAGUUAAUGAAAAAAUUUAAUGAAUUAGGAUAUAAUAAAUAAGAGAUUAUCUAAAAUACCAUCUGGGUAUAAUUAAAGGACUUUUUGGGGUACUUACAAAAGUUAAAAUGUUUUGGCAUAAAACAAAACACAAAGAUAGAAUAAAACUCGGAUCAUACCAACAAUGCUGAAACACUUGUUUUUCUUGUUUCCAAGAAAUAUAUUAUCGAGUACAUUAUGAAUGUAAAAAGUUCCAUACUCGUAAGCGUUGUUCUUAAGAAAAUCCUGAAACCUCCCUAUGAAGAUUCCAUACGCUGGCAACAAGAUGUUUUUGAGAAAUGCAAUUAUUUCUUCCCCUAGAUUCAUAUCAUGAACAGACCAAAUGCACUGAACUCUGCAUAUCACUUUGAUCUAGUUUUUUUUGAAAAAAAUAGCAUAUAAUUCGAUUAUUUAGUUUGUCCGUUCUAAAUACCUCCAACUAUUCAUCAUGAAAAAAUGACGCAAAGCAUGGUCCAUACAUUUUUCUGACUUCGAUACCGAUAGCUCUAUAGUCCCCUUCAAUUGUACCAAUAGCAGCAUUGAUCUCUCGUGGCCUGAUAGCAGAAACAAGAUAAUUCUAUAAAAGAACAUAGAAUAUAAAUAAACUAAUUAAUUCUAUUCAUUUUUUCAUAGUUAAUAUCUUUAUGAUUAAAGAUAUAAGAAAGGAAAAGACAGAGACGCGAAAGUAAUUAACGAAAACUAACACCACUCAAAAGAAAAAUAUCAUCAUCAUUCAAGUAUAUUUUUUUACUCUUUUACGGAAAAUUCAUCAUAGUAAGAAUCAUAAUAUUGUUAUUAUGAUUCUCCAUUAAGAUUUUGUAUAUAUAAAUUAAUUCGCCAUAUUUAACUAGUGAAAUUGAUUUUGUGUGGUGUGAAAUGUGUAUAUUUGUCAUAAAGUCCAUUUCUAAUCGUGGGCAUAUAUAUACGUUUUUAUUCACAGAAUCAUUCCUUAAUUAUUAUACAUAUAACUAUUAAAUUAAAGUAAUCAAAGAUUGGUUAAAAAUUUCUCUGUGAAAUUUUGAAAAGUCAAAAGCUUUUUUUCUUUUGUGUUGAAACAACUUUUUUGGAAUGUAAAAAUUCACCGCAUAAAUAUUCGUCACUUAUACAUGUAAAAUAUGGAUAAAGAUUAAUAAAUAUUUAUUAUUAAUAAACAACAAAAUAAAGAAUAUAUAUUUAUAAAUGAUGUAUAAAAAAUAUAUAACAAAUAUAAAAAAUUAUAGAAUAAAUAUUUAUCACCGAUACAUAAAAAAUAUGACAAAUAUUUGUUAUUGAAAAUUAAAAAUAUUGAAAAAACACGAGACAUAUAAAAACUCGAAAAAGUAUUUGUUGCUCAUAAAUAUAAAAAUAAAAUAUAAGAUAAAUAUUUCUCAUGUUUGUAUAAAUUAAAAUUUUUGUUUGAAAUAUGAGAUAUAAAAUAACAACGACACAUAAUCCGUACGAUUGCACGAAUUUCUUAUUAGUUUUCCAUUAAAGGUAGCGAGAUCGAUCAUCACAUGUGUCAUGGGUAUAUAUUUAGUGAUUUAUUGUGAGUAAUAUACAUUGAACAUUGAACAUUGAACAUUGAAAGUUUCAAAACUUUUAUGCAUGAUUUCAAACAUGCUACAAUUUUGAUUGCCUGCGAAAAUAGUAUCAUUUGAAUCGAACACGAUCCCUUUCUUAUAUGAAUGGAAAAGGAUUGUUUAAAAAAGGUUAAGUUUCUAAAAUUUCAUUGUUACAAAGUUUUUAAAGGAAUUGCUUUUUCUAAGUCACAUUACAUGUCGCAAGUCUGUGUUAUUUAAAUUUUUUUUUUCAAAUUAAAUUUUUAAAUUAUUAAAGUAGAAUUUGUUAAUCACUAAAAUGUUCAAAUUUAUUAAAGUUGUUAUUCAAAAUUAUACAGUUGUAUUAUAAAUUGAGAUGUUAUAGGAAUAAUACGUUUGAGUUCAUUGAAAUUCAUUAUUAUAAGACAUAAUAUAUAGAUCAUUUAAAGAUGAAUCAUUGCUUAUAAUUAAUGAAAUUAAAAUAUUUGUUGCAAUUGUAUAUCCAAAAGAUAUAGACAUGCAUUUAUUUUGUCAUUUAUUUUGAUUUGUUGUUGGCUCAUAAAGUAUGUGAAUUUAGCAUUUGGCUAUGUAUUUAUGUAUUCCCUUUGGUCUUAAAUACAAGAUAGUUUUUGGAAAAAAAAUUGAUUCUAUAUUUAAAAAACAAUUACCACUUUUAAGAUGUAUUUAUUGUUUAAAUCUACAUCUACAUAAUAAACAAUUAUCUUACACCAAAUUUUAGACCAACAAAACAAUUAAUGUAUUUCUAAUAUUUUUCAUUCACAUCUAGUAAAACCUUAAUUAUUUAAUGUAAUCAAUUUUAUAAAUGAUAAUUAAAUCAAAUUUCAAAUAAAAAAUAACAAAAUAGGAUAUUCAAGCAUGUUCUUUAGCAAAUUGAUUUGUGGAUAUUAUCUUAUAAUAAUAAUUAAAGAUAUGAAUUUUUUUAAUAAUAAUAAUUUAUCAAAUGAAUUUUACUCAUUUUCGAGACUAAUUACACUAACUGAGCACAACUUAAAUAUGGUAUAUGAAAUUAGUUAGUUAACACAAUAACAAAUUUCUAAGUCAGCCGUAAACCCUUAAAUUUUUUAUGUUCAUUAUUGUUUGCUAUUAUGAUAUACUUCCACAUAGAUUAUUCAUCUAAAGAAAAAAAAAUGUGUUGCUGUAUCUUAAGAUUUUUCAUUCACACUUCACUCACCUGUUCUUUUUCUAUAUAUAUUAAUUCAAUACUUGUUGCUCUUUGUGUUUACUCAUUCUUAAAAAUAUUUGUAUUCCACUUAUUUUUUUAAAUAUUCUUUUUUAAUUCAUGAUGUUUUUCGUUCUCUUUUUUUUUUUUCAUAUGUAUAAUUUUUCGUUUAAAAUGGAUGAAGAAAUCAUAAAAGGUUCCACUUUUUCGUAUUUACGAAGAUCUCUAUAUGUUUUUCCUAAAUUGUGUAUGUUUGUAUAUGGCUAGGGUUCCACUUAUCAUAGAUUUUCGACCGGUCACUCAAGUCAAUUAUUUGUCAUCACAAUAAGGCAAUAAUGAUGAUAUCAAACUAGUCGAUUAUAAAAUUAAAGGUCCUCGCUAAGAUGAGUGAUAAGUUUAAUCGAGUGAUUUGAAAACAGUUUAUGAUGAUAUAUAUGUUAAGAAGUCUUUCUUUCCUUCCAGUGUGUUUGGUUAAGGUGAAAUAUCAAAGAGAGAGAUGGAUGCGAGAGAAGAUGCGAAGAGAAUGGAAAUUGAACUGUGGACCAAAUUUAUGGUGUUGGAAGCUCAUAUUCAUGGCAAUUUUUGCAUGAGCUUGUUCUUGAUUAUGGAGUUAAUCUGAUUCAAUCAUUUAUUUCUUGAAAUGAAGGAGGCAACACCUGUCACCGGCCACCAUAGCCAUUAGCCUAACAUCCUAUGGCCAUGACUGAAUCAUAGAGUUUUCUCUAUUACACAAACCUCCAACUACUACUGUUGUGACAUCUUUUGAUCCCGUUUUCUUGUUUUGGAUCCUCUAUUCUAGAGCUUAGCUGAUCUAUAUUUUUUUUGUAGUAUAUAUAUAUGGAAUAAAUCUUCUUGCCUUUUCAAGUAUUGUAUUUCUAGGUUUACAUGAGACUUAGAUGGAGGGGUAAAUGUGUUGCUAGUAUGCUACAAAAGGAAAUUAUUUUAAAUUUUUUAAUGUUUCGAAAAUAUUAUUAUUUAUUGGUUAAACCACGUUAAAGUUUAAAUUCAAUAAUGUUAUCUUAUUUGUAAGUGAAUCAAGUCUUGAUUAUCCGUAACAACUCAGAUGCAAAAGUUACCCCCAUUAGGAGUACGAGUUAAGUCUUGUACUAGCAAAGUUACAAUGAUGACUAGAUUUUCUCUUUUGUUAAUGCAAAAGUUUUGUAGUCAUUGAAGAUUCUUUUAUGUUAAUAAAAUAAUUAUAAGAACUUUCUUUCUUCAUUUUCUUUGCAUGUUCAUAGAAGAUCAAUAGCAGAUUGUUCUAGUUAAAUAGCGUUAAUUAAACUAAUGCAUGCAACGGUGUCUAGCUUAACUGCUGAUGUGUUCAACAUCAUACACACUAGUCCUUCAUUCCUAGAUACUCACAAUUAAGUGCAUGUUUAGCUUGACGGUAAGUUUAGUAGAAUCAUGGUGAGUCACUACAACUUUAGAAAAGUUAUUCCUUAGAGCUUCAACAAAAUCGCAGUACCACUGUGAUUUCGUCAAUCUUACCAACAAUCUAAACAUGCACUAAGUCUUGUACUAGCCAAGACUUGAUUGGUGUAUAAUGUCCUUCAUUCCUUCAUUAAACUAGCAUUGACUUAAGUCUUGUACUAGCCAAAAUAUUGUCAUGCAGUACAAAGGACACAAUCUUUAGUGUGACAAAAGGAAAAGCAAACCUUUAUGAUCCUAUUGCACAAAAUAUACAUGUGGUAUAUAGGAAAUAUUGGUCAUAAAUUCUUCAAGAACAAGUUUUUGAUGAUAAAUAAAGCUGUUAUAGUUUGACAUGAGUUUUGGUACCAUUCUUUACUUUUCUUAAACUGAUGCUGAAGUCUUACAAAUUAGAGGAAGAUGAACAUUGGAGGUAGAUGAAAAUUUGAGGAAAAUGAAACUAUAGUUGGAGUUCUUAGAGAAAGGAAGGUAUUUCUAAUAGAAAAUUCUCAAUUUGCUUAAUGUUUAAUGUCAAAUACAAGUAGGUAUAUAUAGGUACAAAUAGAAAACUCUAGACACAUUUCUAGGAGCUUCCUAAUUAAUACUGACACGUCCCGUGCCAAAAAUUUAAAAAUAAAUAAAUAAAUAAGUAUAAUAAUAAUAAUAAUAAAUAAAAACAAAUUAACCCUACUCAUUCUCACUCCCUCAUUUUCUCCUAAUUUUCUCUCUCUCCCUCUCGGCACACACUCCCAUCCCCCUUUUUGUUGUUUUUUCUUUCUUUCUUUUCCUUCUCUUCUCCUUGCUUCUUCUCACCCUAUUACUCAAACCCUCAAUCCUUAAAAGAUAUUUAACAUCCCCACAAGCUUAAUUUCUCAAACUCCUACAAAUUCUUUUGGUUGAGAUUUUUGGAUUAGGGUUUGUGUUCUAAGGAAGGAAAAGGGUACCCAUCUCUUGAAAGUGGUUUAUUGAGACUCAUUGAAGUAAAUGCACAACUCUAAUACUAGUAUGAAUUCAUAGAAAAAUGUAGUUUUGAGUAAAAAUCUUAUUUUGUGCUUAGAGUAUAUUUAAAUGAUGUUGAUGGUUUCCUAGAGGUAGUUAAACUUUAGAAUAAAUUUCUCUAAAGCCUUGGAAAUAUUUUUGAUACUCAGAUUUGUCAACUGAGACCUUGCCGACUACUCUGAGAGUUGUUGGAGAGCAAACUUAGACGAUUCUCCAUAACUGUGAGUUGACGACGAUCAUCGUCAUAUAUUUUUAUACUGCUAUUAUUAUUAUUUUACUUGUUUUCUAUAUUAAAGUAUUUAUUGAAAAAUUUGGGAAACACANNNNNNNNNNNNNNNNNNNNNNNNNNNNNNNNNNNNNNNNNNNNNNNNNNNNNNNNNNNNNNNNNNNNNNNNNNNNNCUUGAAUUGUUAUACGAUUGAAUAUGUUUUUUCACGAAUUACGAUGAAAUGAUUUUAAAUGCGCGUUUUGGAAAAUCGGUGUUAUUGUUAUUAAAUCGUUAACUGCGUUAGGUGCACCUAAUUACCACGUGUUGAUUAGGGAGAGUUAACCGUUAGAUGGAGCCGUCCCUACGAGAGAGGUUAUCCGUAGGAGGAGAGGGCUAUCAACGAGAUGUAAGCUCCCUAAUUGAUACGUGAUGAUGCGUUGCAGGAUUGAGAGGAGAGGGCCAUCCGUUAGAUGGAGCCGCCCCUAAGGGAAAGGCCACCCUUAGGAGGAAAGUGCUAUCAAUGAGAUAAAGCCGCCUCUUAGUUCUAAAAAUUUGUAUUAUUACUUGUUUGAUUUUUAUGAUAAUUUUAAGGUUGUUCAUUUUGAUUUCGUUUUGUUAUUCACUGAAUUUUUAAUAUUUCUGUCAAGCGAUUAAACAGUUAUUCGUGCCUUUUGUGUUUCCCUUCUCAUUGAUGGUGGUUGUUGUCUCCUCACUAAGUCUUUGUGACUUACCCCUUUACGUUGCUAUUUUUUUUUCAGAUUCGCAGACAGUUGAGUAUAAAUCUGUUAUUUGAUUCAAGUCUCCACAUAUUUCUUUUUGGUAGGCCUCUUUGAUUGAGGACCAUUUUUGUAACGUCUGUUGAGUCUAUGUAAUUUGCAGCUAUUUUGGAAUCUAGAAAUUUUUUUGGAAAUUGUAUUAAACGAUUAUAUUAUGUUCUUUGAAUUGUGACUGAAUUGAGAUUUUAAUAAGGAUUUAAUUAAUUUGGGAAUGUUGAAGUUACAGAGGAUACUCUGUCGAAAUUUCGAGGAAAAGUAUAUACCAGGCUAGGAGUAUAGCUUGCGCGCCGGUCACGACAUUUAAAUUUUGGGUCGUGACAAAUACCAACUCCUAGAUACUUCCCACAAUUUUCUAUAAUUAGAACACUUCUAGAUUCUUACAUGGAAAUUCUACGUGGUUCUAGAAUUAUCUAAUUUCAAAUUAAUAAUAACAUUGCUCCCCCUUAAUUUGAAAUUUUCUUCUUCAUUCCAAGUCUUGCUCUUAGCCUUUGAAAUUCUUCAAAUUUUAACGGCUUUGUAAAAACAUCUGCAACUUGAUCUUGAGUCUUCACAUAUUUAAGCUCAACUUCUUUCUUGGUAAUGUAUUCUCUAAUGAAAUGGUACCUUGGUCUAUGUGCUUGUUGCGAUCAUGAAACACUAGAUUCUUUGCAAGUGCUUAUGCCGACUUGUUGUCUAUAUAAAUAUCAGUAGCUUCCUUUUGUGGCAUAUGAAGUUCGUCCAAUAAUCUCCUUAGCCAAAUGGCAUGAUAAGUGCAAGUUGCUGCUGCUACAUACUCUGAAUCACAUGUUGAAAGUGUGACAAUAGGUUGUUUAUUUGAGCUCCACGAAAAAGCACAGUCUCCCAUGAAAAAUAUAAAGCCACUAAUACUCUUUCUAUCAUCAAUAUCUCCCGCAAAGUCGCUAUCACAAAAUCCAAAAAAUUUAAAAUCAUUAGAAGAAGAGUAAAAUAGUCCAUAAUCAAGUGUACAUUUAAGGUAGCAAAGUAUCCUCUUGGUGACUUUCAUGUGUGUAGUAGUAGGAGCUUCCGUGAAACGACUCACUACUCCAACCACAUAUAGAAUGUCAGGUCUUGUACAUGUUAAGUAUUUUAGGCUUUCAACGAGGCUUUUGAAAAAAGAAGGGUCCUCCUUUUGUCCAUCUUCAAACUUUGACAACUUUAAUCCUCUCUCCAUUGGUAUGUUCACCGGAUUGCGAUCAAACAUUUUAAAUUUAUUCAAAACUUUAUUUGCAUAGUUUUCUUGAGAAAUAAAUAUACCUUCUUCCAAUUGUUUUAUGUCACGACCCGAAAUUUAAAUGUCGUGACCGGCGCACAAGCUAUACUCUUAGCUUGGCAAGCCUAUCAAGUAACUUAACAAUUAAACAAAUAAAUCGUUCUCUAACCAUUUCAAAAAAAAUAUAUAUACUUUUUCUCGAAAUUUCGACAAAGUAUCAUCUGUAACUUCAACAUUCCCAAAUUUAUAAAAUUCAUGUUUAACUUUCAAUUCAGUCAUAAUUCAAAGAACAUAAUCUACUUGCUUAAUACACUUCCAAAAAAAAAAAGACUUUUUAGACUCCAAAAUAGCUGCAAAUUACAUUAGACUCGACAUAUUUUACAAAAAAAUGGUCCUCGAUCAAAGAGGCCUACCAAAAAGAAAUAUAGUCGAGACUUGAACCUACUAACAGCUUGCUACUCAGCUAGUUGCCUGCGAAUCUGAAAAAAAUAAACAACACAAAGACUUAGUGAGGAGACAACAACCACCAUCAAUUAGAAGGGAAACACAAAAAGGCACGAAUAACUAUUUUACAAUCUUGUGGCGAUUAUGUCAUACACAUGGUAAAAUCAUUAAUCUUAUAAUUUAGUUGUCCAUAUAGAAAUAUUAAUAAUUCAAUUAAUAGCGAAACGAAAUCAAAAUGAAUAACUUUAAAAUCAUCAUAGAAAAUCAACAAGUAAAAAUACAAAUUUUUGAGAAUCAAGAGGCAGCUUCAUCUCAUUGAUAGCCCUUUCCUCAUAAGGGUGACAUUUCCCUUAGGGGUGGCUCCAUCUAACGGGUAACUCUGCCUAAUCAAAACGAGGUAACUAGGUGCACCUAACGCAGUUAACGAUCUAAUAAUUAUAACAACGAUUUCCCAAAACACGUAUUUAAAAUCAUUUCAUCGUAAUUCAUGGAAAACAUAUUCACUCGCAUAACAAUUCAAUAUUCAAAUACUUUAAUUCAUAAGUAAAUCAAACUAAUAACAUAUUAUAUAGCAAAGACUAUUAAAUUAAAUAAUUGACGAAAUUGAGAUAAAUUUCAAAGGUUGUGUUCCCCAAAUUUUUCAAUAAUUACUUUAAUAUAGAAAACAAGUAAAAUAAUAAUUAUAGCAUUAUAAAAUAUAUGACAAUGAUCGUCGUCAACUCACAGCUAUGGAGAAUCGUCUAAGUUUGCUCUCCAACAACUCUCAGAAUAGCCGGCAUGAUCUCAACUGACAAAUCUGAGUAUCAAAAAUAUUUCCAAGACUUUAGAAAAAUUAUUCUAAAGUUUAGCUAACUCUACAAAACCAUAAAAAUCAUUUAAAUCUACUCUAAGCACAAAAAUAAGAUUUUUAAACAAAACUACAUAUUUUUCUAUGAAUUCAUUUGAUUGAAAAUAUGCAUCCCAUAUUGACAUCAUUAUCAUUCAUGUUCUGAACAAAUUCAACUAUAAAAAAAUAAAAACUCUUAAACUAAAUCUACGUAGAACUCUAUUCAAUUAAACAAAGGUAGAAGUGUGUAUUAUGUAAGAAUAAAUUAUGGUGGUUUUUGUUAAACAAAGUCAUAUUCAUGUACGAUGAUUCAUAUGUCUAAUGUUCUGCCAACAUAGUUGAGAGGAUGAACACAUAAAAAAUUGUUCUCUUAAUUUGGAUUUACUUCAAUACCAAUCAUGUCGCUAGAACAACUUCCCCUACCAAUAAUUGCUUGUUCUAUAUUCAUGAUUUGGAUCACUAAAAAUAUUGAUGUGCAUAUUCCAAGGGCAGUGGGAUGAGCAUUUGUUAUGGUGUAAUUACUUCUUGCAGAUUUGUUUGUUGUAAAGAAGGUUUGAGAAAGCCAAGCAAACGAGACUAUAAAACAAUCAAUCCAAGGCUGGAGACCAGAACAAGUUGUCAAGUAAUGCUAUAUGACUCAAGAACCUGGAUGGAAAAUUGGUGGUGUGUGAUUUUGUGGAGAAACAUAACCAUAUUUUGCAUUAUCAAGAAACAACUCAUAUGUUAUCGUCUAAAGGAAAAGUUUCAGAUUUCCAAUGUCAUCAAAUUGAUCUAAGAUGAAGCUAGUCUACAACAGAGGAAGUCAUUUGAUUUGAUGAGUAAAGAAGUAGGAGGUAGAAUUAACUUGGGAUUUAUUCGUCUUAAUCAAAAGAAUUACAUCCAAAAAGUAAGGCAAAUUUGAAUUUGUUACACGAGGAAGUUGGUUAUCUAUUGCAAUACUUUCAAAAUAAGUUGGUUGAAAAUCCAACUUUCUAUGUGCCUUUCAAAUGGACAAAUAACCAAUGUAUUAUUAUUAUCAUUUUCUAUUAUCUUUAUUGUCACCUAAGUUACUUUGGUUAGUUAAUGUAUGUAAAUAUUCAUUAUGUUAAGUUUUUAUAUAAAGUUGAGUUGAUUACUUUACUAAUCAUGAUAGGUUCUUUGUCGAUGUGGUCUCUCGAGAUUUGAUGUAUUGUACUAAUAGUUCACAUAGAUCAUUAGUAAUAUUCUCAAGAUUUAACCACCAUCGAAAUGCAGUGAUGAUUCAAGAUGCAUUGUUAUAUGAUGAAACGGUUGAAUUAUACAAGUGGCUCUUUGAGACAUUUUUAGAGGCAAAAAAUGUCUCAAAUAGUUUUCACUUAUAAAGAUCAGACAAUGGCAAAAGAACUAGUUGAAGUUGUGCCUUAAACUUACCAUGGCCUGUGUACGUGGCACUUGAUGCAGAAUGACAUCAAACACUUGGAAAAUUUAAUGAAGAUGAAGAACAAUUUGAGGAAGGUUGGAGAAAUCUCCUUGUAAGGUAUGAUGUCAACAAAAACAUUUGGUUGCAAAGAGUAUACACUUUAAAAGAGAAAUGGACAUCUUGUUUUAUGAAGAAAGCUUUAUAUUAGGAACGAGAAGCACCCAACUUAGUGAACGUGUGAAUUCAGAUAUUAAAAGUUUUAUAAAUAGGAACUUGGAUAUAAUCAAAUUUUUCAAGCGUUUUGAAGAUGUGGUAGAAGAAAAACGAUAUAACAAACCGAAAUGUGAAUAUGAAGCACACCAAAAAGUUCGGAGACUCAAGAACACAUAUUCUUAUAUCUUGCAGCAAAUGUUUGAGCUUUAUAUUCUCACUAUUUUUAAUCUAUUCCAACAUAAGCAUGAGUUGUUUAAGCAUGUCCGGAGAAGAGCAUGAACAUAAAAACACCCAUAAUUGAUUAUGUUAUUAUCAUGGAUAUGGAUUUAGGGGAGUAGCAAGUGUCUUUUGAUUUGGAUAAGAAUUCAAUUUGUUGCUCUUGUCGUACCUUUGAGGGCUUUGGAUUUGAGGACUAUGGAAUUCUUUAUUGUCAUUUUGUAAGAUGACAAAUGCAAAACAACAAAAUGCAUUACAUACACACAUACCUAGUGAUCUCCUAAUGAUUGAUAAAUGACAAACUUGCCAUAAAAUUAACAGCUAACUUACAAAUUUUAUUUUUCUUUUGUAUCUUUUUUUUUUUUUUUUUGUGAUUUCUUCGUCCGAAUGCUAUGCUUUUUUUAUUUUCCUAUUUCGGUGCAACACUUUUUCCUAUUUUGGUGCGGUGUUUGUUUUGGUUAAGAUUGACAUAGUAGAUUUGGUCCAUUACAUUUUCAAUUAAUAAUUUGGCGUCGUCAACGUUACAGAUCUAGAGCAUAAGUAUUUCAGACACUUGAAUUUUGUCAUAAUUGUAGGCAUGUUGCCGUUUUAUGCUAUUAACUUGGGGGUUGUGAGUUUGUUCGCAGAUUCAUCCUUUAUGUUUUUAGCAAAUGUAUUCUACAAUUUGAAUAAAUUAAUAUAGUUAUUUUUAGUAUAAAAAAAAGGGUUAAAAAAGUUUUUAGUCUCUAUAAAAUAUUGAAAUUUCAUUUAGUCAGUGUAAAAAUAAUCACAUUUUUUAGUCCUUACAAAAUUAGUCUACAAGCUCUUUUAGUUCUUGAUGAAAUGAAACAUCCUUCAACUUUUAAAUUUUCGAAUGAUAAUUUGCAAGAAAGUUUAUUUCAUUAAUAUUAAAAGUCCAUCCACACAAAUUUAAAAUUUUUUAAAUGUCAUAUGUUCAAGAUAAAAGUCCUUAAAGUAUGGAGUAAGAAAUUAAAUUUUGAGUUCAUUUUUCGUAGAGGAACUUUUACCGUGUCGUAAAAAAUAUCUACAAAAUAAUAUUCAAGGAUAUAUAUUGAUGUCCAACAAGGAUUAAAAGUGUUUGCAUAGACUGCCUAUUUAUUUGGUCAGUAUCAAUCAAUUUAUCAGAUCGUGUGAACAUCUAUUUCCUCUCGCUUAAAAAAUACAGUACGAAACUAAAUUAAAUAGACAGCCGAAGGAGGGGUACUUUUCUGAUGCAACAACUUGUUUGAAAUUUUUUCAUCCUGUGAAUGCAAUGUGUUGACUAAAAUUUAUUUAUUAAAAUGUUAAAUUAAAAAAUUAAAAAUUAUAUUAAUAAAAGAACAUAUUAUAAUAUUUUAACAACACUGCUAUUUUUUAUAUUUUGUAAGGCGGGAUUUUAUUUUUAAAGGAUAUAGUGAAAAAACACCCGAGAAGAGGAGGACCCAAACGCGUCAAUUGCGCUACUACCAUUAGACUUAAUCAUAUCUUCUAAUAUUUAAAGGUGACAAUGACCUUAUAUUCUGUUUCCUCGAAAUUUCAUUUUAAAAAAAAACAAAAAAAGUAAUUUGAAGUCAAAAGAAGUUCACAUUAUAGUAUAUAUGUAUGCAAAAGCGGCUUUAACUCACUUAAGAGUUAAGAAAGAACACGAUGCAUAUUCUAAUCCAAAUCCGAAGCUGGCUGAUGCAGACAACUGUAUGGAAAUAUUUGGGCUUCACUUCAGCUGUUGUUGGAUUAGUUUGUUAUGCUCUCAGCUCUUCUUUCAACCAUCUUUUUGGAAAUUGGAAUUUGCUGAAGAUAUUUCUUUACAGUGUUUUCUGUUUCAUUAUCUGCUUACUAAUUUUAUCUGCAAUGAUUUGGAAGAAUCACUCGAGAAGACUCAGGUUUCGAGUUCAAUUCGCAUUUUUGGUAUUGACUCUCACCUCUGUGUAUUCCUUUUUCUCCGACAGAGUGAUGAAUGGGAAACCAGAUUCAUAUAGCCUCAUUUCAAGUGCUGCCUUUGCUAUCAUGUCAUUGAGUUUGUCGCGGCAAACUCAAUGUGGAUUUGAAGUUGAUCUUCUUUACUUUUUUCUCGGUUGUUUAAUUGUACAACUCAUGAAGAUUAAAUGGCAGUUAUUUAUUGUUGGAGCAGGUUUCAGUUAUUCUCUUAUUAUUCUUCGUUCUUCUUUUCCUUCCAUAGAUACAGAACCAGAUAAUAUCCAAGAUGAAAUUUCGGUAGUUAUUGAUGUACUUUCAUCACAACUAGCUAGUACUGAUAAAAUUACUAGUAGCAUGAUAGAACAGUUGAGGACUUGUGUUAAUGCGAUUCAGCAUGAUAAUUUGUAUGUCAUCAACAUGUUUUUGGAGCAACUAAAGGAAUAUUUUGACGAUGCAUCUGAAUUAGUGUUGUCUGAACAGAACCUGGAAGAAGUGCUCAAGAUAGAUGCGAUAUCGCAAGAAACGAUUAAUAACCUUCAGGAAACGAUAAAGUUAAUCGUGAGCGUUGGUUUUGAGAAGGAUUGUUCUAGCGUGUACAGCAGUUGCCGGAGAGAGUACUUGGAAGAAUUCUUAAUAAAAAAUUUAUUUGAUUUUGAAAAGUUUAGUAUUGAGAAUGUUAAUAAGAUUCCAUGGAAGGAAAUCAGACACCCGAUUAAGCGAUGGAUUAAAGCUUCGAAGGUUGCUAUUAAGAUACUUUUCCCAACCGAGCGCAGACUCUGCGAUCUUGUUUUCUUCGGAUUCUCAGACGCUGCCGAUCGCUCAUUUACAGACGUUUGUAAGGGAAGCACGAUUCAUUUGCUGAAUUUUGCUGAUGCGUUAGCGAAUGGAAGCCGUUCGCCAGAGCGGUUGUUUAGAGUCCUCGACGUGUUUGAAGCAUUGCGUGACCUAAUUCCGGACUUUGAGUCUCUGUUUUGUGAUGAGUAUAGUGUGUCGCUAAGGAAUGAAGCAAUUUUAGUUUUCAAGAAUUUGGGAAAAGCGAUCGUGGCUAUUUUCGUGGAGUUGGAAAAUGCGAUUCGACAAGAUCAAUCAAAGACGGCAGUUUCCGGUGGAAGGCUACUCCCUAUUGUUCGUUAUGUGAUGAACUACCUCAGACUCAUUUGUGACUAUAGAAAGACACUGGAGCAGGUGUUUGAAGACCAUGACAAUCAUGUAGAUGAUGAUAGAGUUCCCUCUUCUUCCUCUCUUUUAGUACAAAUGGAUCGGAUUAUGAAGGUAUUGGAUACUAAUUUGGAAGCCAAGGCUAAAGUCUUUAACGAUUCUGCUUUGAGCUGUGUUUUCUUGAUGAAUAGCAGCAGUUACAUACUUCAAAAGAUCAAAAAUAGUGAAUUAGGAGAUAUUUUAGCGGAUGAUACGAUCCAAAAACACCAGGCAAAAUUUCGGCACAACUAUGAGCAAUAUCAGAUGAGCUCAUGGAAUAAGGUGACGGAAUUUCUGAAGAUAGACAACAAUGAAAUAGUGCCUUCUGAUAUGGUAGAGAAAUCAAUGAAAGAGAAACUCGAAUCGUUCAACUUAUUGUUUGAGGAAAUAUGUAGGGUUCAGUCUACGUGGUUUGUCUUGGAUGAACAACUUAGGGAAGACAUAAGAAUUUCGAUUGAGAGAAACUUGUUGCCAGCGUAUGGAAACUUCAUUGGAAGGUUCCAAAGUGUUAUGGAACUUGGUAAGAAUACUGAUAAAUAUAUUAAGUAUGCAACAAAUGAUAUUGAAGCAAGACUCAAUGACCUGUUUCAGGGAAGCUGAUGAUCAACCGGUAGCCGAAAGCAAAACUAAACUUAUUUUUGUGUGUAUGUAUUUGUUACAUUGUAACACACUAUCCAACCUCUUCUUUUAAUUACUUAAAAUUGACAAGGGUGUCACAAAAUUAUUACUGAAUUCUAUAUAAAUUUUAUGAAAUUCACGUGUAUUUUAAUUAAUAAAAUAGAAUUUGUGUUAAAAAAUAUACUAUUACUAUUAUUUUUAGGUUAAAUUACAUAAGUGGUCCCUUAACUUAAUUUCAGGUAACGUUUUAGUCCUUUAUCUUUUUUUUUUUUUUUCCGAUUUAGUCAUUUUUUCCUAAAAAUAUCAAAUAAAGUAUGAAAAUAUGAGUUUAUUUGAAGAUUUGCGUUACGAAUUUGAUGAAAUUUGUAUUAUAUUGAAUAAUAUAAUUAAUUUUAUGAGUUUUGAUUGAAUUUUUUUUUUGAAUUUUUAUAUAAAAAAGGAUAUCAUUGUUGAAAUUUUAAAACAUAAAAUAUCAAAUUGUCACUUAAAAUUAAAAUAAUGGACCAAGUCGGAAAAAAAAAAAAAAGAUAAAGGACUAAAACGUUACUUGAAAUUAAGUUAAAUGACCACGAAUGUAAUUUAACCUUAUUUUUAUUACAAAAUUAUACAAAUUCUUGUUUUUUUAUCGUAUUUUAUUUUGUGUUAUAAAAUUAUUGUAUAUAAAUAAAUUUAAUGUCAUUUAUUUUUAUUGAGUCUUUAAUUUAUUUUCAAGGAACAAGUUUUCAUUACAAUUUUAAGAAUAAACUUAUUUUUUUCUUCAAGGAACAAGUUUUAAACUAUAUUUUUGUCUAGAAAUUUGUAUAUAACUAUAAAGUUCUACAUAAAAAUGUGAUAUAUUUGAUGCAGAAAUAUAUUUUAAUAAUAUUUGACUUAAUUUUAAUUAAAAUUCGACAAUUUUUUGUUUUUCAAGUUUAAAAUUUUGGAGAAUGAGAAUAUAUCAAUCUCAAAGGGAAUCAUAUUUUAACAAGCAAUGGACCACAGAACUAACAAUCAAUCUGUCAUAGUGAUAAGUAUUAAAACUUGCAUUAUCAUAUUCUAUUCAUGCACAAGCUUGGGUACCCUUCUCCUCAGCUGACUCCUAUCCUUCAGUUCUUCUAGCACCUUAUCGAGUGGGUCACUUUCAAGAAAUAGACUGCUUAGUCGAACUUCAAUGCCUUUUGUUCCAAUGUAUUUCAACAAUGUAGCCACAAAGGGGCGAACCCACGUCCAUGGAUAUUGAUAUUUGUGAUAUUAUAAACAAAUCAUGGCUAUAUAUCAUUUACAGUUUUUUAUUUUAAAUACAAAGGUUGUAUAAUUUUUUUUUUUGUGAUAUAUAUUUUCUUACUCUGUUAUAGAAUUUGUUUUUAUAUCAAAGUUAGUCUCUUAUGUUAAGUCAAUUAGUAAGUAUUAUUUCAAUUUUUGAAUGAUCUUUUUUAAAUAGAUUUAUAACAUUAUAAAUGUUUUAAAUGUUUAACAAUAAGUAAAUUUAAUAUAAAUUUUUCAAACAUCAAAUACUCAAAAAAUAACACAUAGAGUGUAUUGCAAAGUUUGGUUGUAUUAUGAUAAAAACUAGAUUUUAUUUUAGAGAUUAAAACAAACGUUUUUCAAAAUCUAAGUAGUCUAUACAACAAAUCCGACUAAUCCAAUUCAAUUAAAUGAUUUUUUCUUCGAUAUAAGAUUUUCGUAACACUCAUACGACUAAUCGACAUCAAUAUAUCUAUUGGUUUGUUCACCAAUCUAAGUUGUCUCUACCACUCAUACAAUUGAACUUAUUCAAUCUAAAAGUCGUUUCUCUAAUCUAAGUUGUUUGUAACACUCAUAUGACUAAUCUAAUACUAAAGACAUCAAAAGAUUUUGAUUCGACACCUCAUAUUCCAUGUAUCAGGUUUAAACUAAGGUUCACUUAUUGUCAAAUACUAAAGACCACAUACGAUUUCUAUUGUCAUAUAAGUGAUAGGGACAAUCGUUUAACCGAACUUAACUAAGUGGUACAGGCAACUUAAUAAUAUUUCAAUUGAAUAAAAACAAAAAAAAUUAAACUUCGAAUAAAAAUAUUAAUUUAUAUAUAUGAAUACAUAAUUAAACAAAUAUGACAUUUUUUCAAUUGAAUAAAAAAUGUAUUAAAAAAAUAUUGAUCUGAUUAACACAUAUUAGUUUAGUAAGUAAAAAAUAUCAUAUCCCACCAAUCAGAUGCCAAUGGGAUGAACAGACGAAUCCCCUUUAGGAUCGUACAUUUUCGCGAAGGACUUGAGAAUCGAACUUGAGACUCUUUAUUUAUAGAAGAAACGCGCAACAUUGGAUCAACAAUUCAAUCAUGUUAAUAAAAAAACGUUUAGAUAAACAUAUAUCACCUAUAUUUUGGAAAUAUCUCACAAAUCUCUCACCCUUUCAAAAUACAAUUAGUCACAUAAUUUUGAAAAUAUCAUGGUUUCAAAAAAUGGUAUCUUACGAUUUGAACUACUACUUAGUAAGUUGUGAGUUUCACUCAUCCCGAAUAGAUUGGUAGACAAGCUCUGAACCAGUUAUUCAUUAGAACAAGUGUACACAACUUACACAUAAAAUCUCGGUACUAUCGAAAAAAUUAUAAAGAUGACUCAUUUGAUAAUGUCUUGUGUCAUGUACCAUUUUGCUGAAAAUUUAAGAGUAAAACCCUUUAAUUCUUUGAAGCGGCCUCACUUCAUUCUCACAUAGGUAGACUAUAUCAAAAAUACACAUAUAAUAUGUGUAUUAGCAAAUUGAUGAUGAUACUUAAUCUAAGGCCUUGGCCCUCUUGGACUUGUAUGUGGUUCCGCCACAUGAAGCAAGUCAGUUUAGAAAAACAAUUUUGUUAUUUGAUGGUAUUAACAAAAUUAAAUAAAAUUACCUCACAUUCUUGACUAUCGUAAAUUUAAUUAUUUUUAUUUUUAUUCAAAACUAAAAGGAUAAUUUAAGCAUCUCUUCAUUACAUGUAGAGUUGUCAAUUUGACAAGCCCAUUAAUUAUAGGCCCUAGCCCACAUGUUGGAGGGGCCAAACAAUUUCAUAAUUAAAAAGGCCCAUUAAAAGUAAGCCCCCAACACUAAAAAACCCCUAAAAUUUUGUGGACACAGUGGGCCUACAGUCCCACUUUUUCAAAAAAAAAUUUGACAACUUUUUUUUUUCCGAUAAAAAAUGUUUUACGAUUUUUUUUCAAAUUUUUUUUAAUUUAAGAAAAAAAAUUUUAAUAUUUUUUGAUAUUUUUUCGAAAAAAAUAAAUUUCAAAAAUUUUUCAAGAAAAAAAUCUCAAAAUUAACAAUAUUGAAGGCCUAUAAGUCCCAUAAAAUAAUGGGUCGGAACUUUAAAAUAUUAUUUUGAUAGGAUGCAUGAUAUUAUGAGCUUAAUAGGAAAUAUUUUAAAGAGGACCUUAGAGUUUUGGAUUUUUUUGACAACUCUAAUCACGUAUAAAAUUGAGUUGAUAUUAUAUGGUGCUAGUAUUUUAGUAAUUUUAUUUUAGUUACUUUAAAAAUAAAUUUUCAACUUACGAUUUAAUACAAUUCCUUCUUUUGAGUGUAGUUGAGAAAAGGAAACAACGCAUAGAUUUGUGGCCAAUUGUAAUUUUAAUCGAUGAAAUUUUUUCUAUCCAAAGUCUAUAAGGUCUAUAGUCAACAAAGUAUAUCAGCUACAACUCCCUUUUCUCAUUAUUAUCAAGUUCAACUUACAUUAGUGUACUGCCUAUAGGAUACCAAGCUCCCAACACAUGCACACAUACACAUACAGUUCUAAAUAGAACUAGUUUUAUUUGAAAUACCCGAAAUUCCAUACUUGCACAACACAUUUCUCCAUACAUACAUACAUAACUUUAAUAAAACAAUCCUAGUUUGAACAUGAGGGUUCCAUGAAGUGGAAAAUGCUCAUAUUUCAACCAUGGUCUUAACAUGAAGUUAUUGAAAGAGAGAUGAUGUGCACAAGAAGUUAGCAUCUAGAUGGCACAUAAAUGGUCAUCAGAAAAGUUAGGUACCCAAGCAGCAGCCUUAUUGCCGAUGAAAUGGCAAAUAGGGACAGUUCCAGGGUCAACUUUGAGAGCUUCAUAAAGC